UACGUAGGGGGCAAGCGUUAUCCGGAUUUACUGGGUGUAAAGGGAGCGUAGACGGCAGCGCAAGUCUGGAGUGAAAUGCCGGGGCCCAACCCCGGAACUGCUCUGGAAACUGUGCGGCUAGAGUACUGGAGGGGCAGGCGGAAUUCCUAGUGUAGCGGUGAAAUGCGUAGAUAUCAGGAGGAACACCGGCGGCGAAGGCGGCCUGCUGGACUGAAACUGACGUUGAGGCUCGAAAGCGUGGGGAGCAAACAGG
Molecule: ribosomal RNA, 253 nt
Filed under: uncultured Lachnospiraceae bacterium
Lineage: Bacteria; Bacillati; Bacillota; Clostridia; Lachnospirales; Lachnospiraceae
Description: partial 16S ribosomal RNA
Rfam family: Bacterial small subunit ribosomal RNA
Source: RNAcentral